Molecule: ribosomal RNA, 253 nt
Filed under: uncultured bacterium
Lineage: Bacteria
Description: partial 16S ribosomal RNA
Rfam family: Bacterial small subunit ribosomal RNA
Source: RNAcentral
UACGGAGGAUCCAAGCGUUAUCCGGAUUUAUUGGGUUUAAAGGGUGCGUAGGCGGCCUUGUAAGUCAGGGGUGAAAGACGGUAGCUCAACUAUCGCAGUGCCCUUGAUACUGCAGGGCUUGAAUACACUAGAGGUAGGCGGAAUGUGACAAGUAGCGGUGAAAUGCAUAGAUAUGUCACAGAACACCGAUUGCGAAGGCAGCUUACUAUGGUGCAAUUGACGCUGAGGCACGAAAGCGUGGGGAUCAAACAGG